UCCUACGGGAGGCAGCAGUGGGGAAUCUUGCACAAUGGAGGGAACUCUGAUGCAGCGACGUCGCGUGAACGAUGAAAGCUUUCGAGUCGUAAAGUUCUGUCCUAUGGGACGAUAAUGACGGUACCAUAGGAGGAAGCCCCGGCUAACUACGUGCCAGCAGCCGCGGUAAUA
This 171-nucleotide ribosomal RNA is filed under the name uncultured bacterium. RNAcentral describes it as "partial 16S ribosomal RNA". It matches the Rfam family "Bacterial small subunit ribosomal RNA", at positions 337 to 525 of the family's 1533-position model. The record is from RNAcentral.